RNAcentral lists this transfer RNA (56 nucleotides) under Aporrectodea caliginosa. RNAcentral describes it as "partial tRNA-Leu". The record is from RNAcentral. Lineage: Eukaryota; Metazoa; Annelida; Clitellata; Crassiclitellata; Lumbricidae.
UGUAGUGAGUUGGCAGAAUAGUGCCACCGCCUGUUUAUGAGCAAUGCUCUCUUAUU